GACGAACGCUGGCGGCGUGCUUAACACAUGCAAGUCGAACGGAAAGGCCCUGCUUGCAGGGUACUCGAGUGGCGAACGGGUGAGUAACACGUGGGUGAUCUGCCCUGCACUUCGGGAUAAGCCUGGGAAACUGGGUCUAAUACCGGAUAGGAGCCAUUUUUAGUGUGAUGGUUGGAAAGUUUUUUCGGUGUAGGAUGAGCUCGCGGCCUAUCAGCUUGUUGGUGGGGUAAUGGCCUACCAAGGCGGCGACGGGUAGCCGGCCUGAGAGGGUGGACGGCCACAUUGGGACUGGGAUACGGCCCAGACUCCUACGGGAGGCAGCAGUGGGGAAUAUUGCACAAUGGGCGCAAGCCUGAUGCAGCGACGCCGCGGGGGGGAUGACGGCCUUCGGGUUGUAAACUCCUUUCGCUAGGGACGAAGCUUUUUGUGACGGUACCUAGAGAAGAAGCACCGGCUAACUACGUG
Molecule: ribosomal RNA, 465 nt
Filed under: uncultured bacterium
Lineage: Bacteria
Description: partial 16S ribosomal RNA
Rfam family: Bacterial small subunit ribosomal RNA
Source: RNAcentral